GACGAACGCUGGCGGCGUGCUUAACACAUGCAAGUCGAACGGAAAGGCCCUGCUUGCAGGGUCCUCGAGUGGCGAACGGGUGAGUAACACGUGGGUGAUCUGCACUGCACUUCGGGAUAAGCCUGGGAAACUGGGUAUAAUACCGGAUAGGAGACAUUUUUAGUGUGAUGGUUGGAAAGUUUUUUCGGUGUAGGAUGAGCUCGCGGCCUAUCAGCUUGUUGGUGGGGUAAUGGCCUACCAAGGCGGCGACGGGUAGCCGGCCUGAGAGGGUGGACGGCCACACUGGGACUGAGAUACGGCCCAGACUCCUACGGGAGGCAGCAGUGGGGAAGAUUGCACAAUGGGCGCAAGCCUGAUGCAGCGACGCCGCGUGUGGGAUGACGGCCUUCGUGUUGUAAACUCCUUUCGCUAGGGACGAAGCUUUUUGUGACGGUACCUAGAUAAGAAGCACCGGCUAACUACGUG
RNAcentral lists this ribosomal RNA (465 nucleotides) under uncultured bacterium. RNAcentral's name for it is "partial 16S ribosomal RNA". It matches the Rfam family "Bacterial small subunit ribosomal RNA", at positions 28 to 507 of the family's 1533-position model. The record is from RNAcentral.